RNAcentral lists this unclassified non-coding RNA (4650 nucleotides) under Hevea brasiliensis (rubber tree). The record is from RNAcentral. Lineage: Eukaryota; Viridiplantae; Streptophyta; Magnoliopsida; Malpighiales; Euphorbiaceae.
UUAGGAGAAAGUUUUGCGGCCUAUCCUAGUGUUAAGUUAUGCAGCCCAUGUCAACGGUCCAAAUUGCUUUUGUAGCUGCAUACAUACAAACCAUUAGCAUGCCAUCGAACUAAUUUUAAUGUGCCAUGUCAAAGGGUUAUUGUUGAGCCAUUUGACGAAAUGACAUUGAAUGAUGAUCUGAUUCCUUGGAUCAUUAUCUCCGUAAUUUUCUUUUUAACUACUUUGAAUUCUCCCUCAAUUGGGCCCAUUCCACUGCAAUCUAUUUUCCCACAAGCAUGACAGCCUAAAGACAACAAAACAACUAUACAAACUCUGGAUGAUGGAAGGGAGGCUUUUGACUACUUCUCAUGAAAAAACAACUCAUCGGAAUCGAACUUAAAAACUUUUUUUACUUUUCCAAUCAGGCCUUUCAAGAAGCUUAUACGCCCUUUUCAAAGGUUUUGUAAAAUGCUUACAAAAUUAGAGAAUCAAGUAUGGAAAAAUAUCUACUUUCACCAUUGCUUUUUGCCCUUUUUCUUCCUCUUGUUACCACUGUUACUACCAUUACCAUUUCCACUGCUCUUCGGAGAUGGGCUCUCCGCAGCAGCGCCGCCAUUGAAAUUGUCAAAUACACCUGCUUGCACAGCAUUCUGAAACCACUCAAAGAAUUCUUCCUCUGUCAUGGUCUCUUCCAUGUUCGAUGUUGGCAUCCGACCACUUCUUUGUCCUGAACUAGAUCCCUUGGAAGUAUUGUGCUUGGCAGUAACACUAGUGUUCACAUGGAAGCUUGGUUUGUGAGUGUUGGCUGGACAUCUCAUUCCCUGCACCAAAAUUCAACAUUUUGUACAUUCACUCUCUCAUCCAGUAUUGAGAGCAGAUGCAAUUGGGUGUUUCCACAGAAGAGGAAAUUUAAUGAUACUAUAAUAUAUAUGCAUGCGAGAUGUACCAGGAAUACAAAAACAAUCCUUUUUUUCUUUACAGUCUACCAUGGUCUACAUUUAUGAUCAUUGACAUAAAUCUUCAUCAAAGUUUUAAUUCAUUUAUUAAGCAGAACUUAUUUUACCUGGCAAAUAUACCAUUCGGUAGCAUCAUAUAUCUUGCCAUCUGCACAAACAUAUGCAGUGGGAGCAUCAACCUGCAUAAAAAAAGUAGAAGUAUAAUUCAAUGAAUUUUUUUUUAGAUCACUUUUACAAUCCUUCAAUAAACAAUGAACUGGCUAGUUGCACCUAAAAAGAAGGAAUCUUAGGUGUACACCUUCUGCAAUAAUCCAAAAAAGAAUGGUUGAGAAGAUUGUUCAACCCAUCCAUCCCCAUCUUUUGUCUGGUGAAAGUCUUUGCAAUCCUGGCACCAUCUUGCUCGAGAUUUUGACUUCUUUGUCUGUAUCCAUACAUGAAAAUUGUUGCACUUUUUGCAAGCUAUGCGCCUUGAUUCUCCAAAAGGGUCUUCACCUUCAGCCUCUGAAUGAGCAAAUCCAGAGGCAAAGAAACCGUGCUCUCCAUUCUUCUGAGAAGUGCUUUUACGGAAAUAGUUCAGCAACUCUUCCCUCCUUAAUUCAUCAUCAUAAGCUUUUCGCUUCAAGGAAUCAAGCAAAACCUCAUACGCAUUUUGAAGUUUCUUAAAUGCUUCCGCAGCCUUCUCAUUGCCCAUAUUCUUGUCAGGAUGAACCAACAUCGCCUUUUUUCUAUACUCCCUCUUCAGUAAAGAAACAUCCACAUUCUCAUAACGGGACAAACCCAGCACCGAAUAGUGAUCAGUACAGUUCAACAACCGUAUAACUUCUUCUUCAGAAGUCAACUCAGCAUCUGCCCCACUGGUUGAGGGAACUCCAGGGCUACGAUCUGAUGAUAACCCUGGGCUAGUUUCAGAGAAAGAAGAAUGAAAGGACUCACUAUUGAAGAAGCCUGGUUGACCUUCCACUCCUGCAGAUUGUUCAGGGGAUCUACUGGAUCUGCGCUGGUUAAUGUUAUUCUUCAGGAAGAAUAUCAGAACGUCACUUGAGAUAAAAGAUAAAUACAAUGCCAAAAUUAAGCCAAGCCAUCCAACAUAUGUCCAUGCACAAUAUACAGAAUACACAGUGGUGAUCAAUAAUGCAAGGCGUUCAUGGCUCAACAUGAAUGCCAACCCUCCAAUGAUAAUGACAAAUAUUGUUGUCCAGAAGCUUCCAUAAAGCCAUAGGAAAACAGUUCCAGAAAUGGCAACUACCAAAAGUCCAAGGGUGAGACCAAUGAAAACUCCCACAAAUGCAGCUAUGGCCAGGGCAAUAAGAAACUUGGACAUCCCAACCAUAACAAUUACUGAUAUGAUGCUACACCAUAUAGCUGAAAAAAAGGUUGCUGUCCCUAGCCGCAUAAAGGAAUCAAUGCCUCUAAAAGUGCAGUCCAACCAAAUCAUUGCCAAAAGAAGCAUUAUGUUCCUAAAAUGAAUGAGCCAUUUCAAGACAACAGGAUAUGCUCGCUCAGCCUUCAGUUUAACAUAAUCACGAGCAUUGUGCAUGUUGGUUGUUACUCUAGCAAACAACGGCCUAUGCCUCUCCAGCCAAUCACCUGCCACCUUCAAAAUGGACAAAGUUGAUGCCCUCAAGUUUCUAAAUGCUACAUUGCCUGAAAAAUCCACAUUUUCCAUCAUAGUUUUUAGAUGCAAGCCAUUAAACAAGUAGUUCAAUCCAUUUUUUGCAUGUUUUACACCGCUGUCCCAGCCAGGUAAUGUUCCAUUGUCUUUACUUAUGUCAGCAUUUUCAACAGAACAACUACUGCAAUCCCCUGAAUUGUCACUGUGAGACACUGACUGCCCUAGAUCUUGCGGUUGAUCUAUUCCUUGUUUCUCUUUUCCCUGAAAUUUUCCAGAGGUUUGCUUAGUUUUGUUAUCAUCUCCAACAUUGUUUUUUCUUUUCACAUUAUCUGAAGAAAGACUACAUGGCCGAUAGCCAUUUGGGAUUUCCUCUCCAGGUAAAACCUUUGACUCAUUCAUUUUCCCUCGUCCUUUCAUAUCAGGAAUUGCAUGCCCUGAAUCUGAAACCUUUUUCUUGUGGUUUGAUGCAUGACGAUCCACUCCAUUCCUCUGUUGAUUACCUUUGCGAGCCAUUGUAGUUAAUAUAUAUGGUACUUGUUGAAGAUGAAGAGAAACUAAUCCAUUUCUAAUUCUAUCAAAGGAAGCAUGACUUGCAGCAUUAGUGCCAUGUGAAAAUCAUUAAGUGUCACCAAAGGAUGUGGACAGUUAAGCCUGUCAAAUCUUUUAAACCAUAACAAAAGAGUGACAAAAACUUCAAGAAGUUUCCUUAUAACUACUCAGAUAUCAUUGGUUGAACCUACAGCCAUCAUUAUGAGGACACAUAUUGGCAAUCACAAUAUUUACACAUCAAUAAAAGACCUGAUGAUUUUGUGUUUUGUCACCUGAUACUCCAUGCUUCAAAAAGUAAAUUGUAUAACCACACAACACUUUUUGGUCAAUACGUGGAUGUGAAAGAAAAAUGUGCUUGGUGAAUAAGAAACAAUCAAAACCAGAAAGGCAAGAUAGUCCUCAAGUUCCCAAUCUUGCAAUUAGAUUACCAUUAAUUUAUUUCCAUCUGAAAGGGAGAAAAAUAUCACAAAAUCAUUUUCAGAUGGAUAACCAAGUUGACCGAAAAUCUUACAAUUCAUUAAAUGUGUAAUCAAUAAUGAAUCUCCAACCACAUAAAAAGUUUUAGUCCCAAACAAAAAAAAAAAACUUUUACAGGAACAGGUUAAUAUAAAAGCAUAAUAUAAGAACUUAAGAGCAAUGAUAAACAGACUUAGGGCUUAGGCCAUUACCAAUAGAGUUUCAAGCAAAAACCCACAUUAUAUAGUCACGGUAUCACGAAGAGGGCGAUGGUAAUAUUUUUGAAACCCUAAGGAACAGAAGGUGAACUAAGCAAGACCCAAACCAAAAAUUUCAGCGCAGCUAAAGGUAUCAAACCCAUACAAAGAAUUGCAGAGGGAUCAUUAUCUGUGGGUUAUCAUUAUCCGUUCCCAAAACGAAAGCAAAAACAUCAUCCAGUAAUUGCGAGAAUAAACCAAAUGGGGGCUUCAAUCAAAAUAAAAAGCAAAGAAAAUGAAAACCCCACCUGAGAACCAAACCCCCAAAUGCGAUAACAGCAAAUAAAAAUCAAGUCCUAAGCUUAAAAAAAUUGAAAAAUAAUAACUUAAUAAAAAAAACAUUCAAUCCUCCAUAAAUAGGGAAAAGAUGAAUAAGAUUGAGAAACAGGCAUACCUUGAGCUAAGCGCAGCUUAGAGGGAGAAGGGGAGUGAAGAAAAAGACCCAAUAGCCAGAAAUGAGUGAUAACGAGAAUAAAGCCCUAAAAUGAAAAGUAGAUGACCAAUAAAAGGGAAAAGAAAAAGCAAAAAAUAGCCUUAAAAGAUCAUAACUUUGCUGUUCCUCCAAUUAAACUAAUAUUUGAAUCUGAUUGACCGGAGCUGUUCAAAGAGCUGAUGAUAGCAUCGUCAAGAAUUGAGAAUGAAACGACAGAGAAGAGAAGCAAGAGAGAGAGAGAGAAGAAGGAAGACUCAACAGAAAGCUGUAAACACAGCUGUCUCUCAACGUCAUCAUCAUCCAGGAUGGAUGGUCUUCUUGUUUGUGUCUGUUUGGGUUUCUCAGUUACUGUACCUUAUCACUUUUUGGGAUUAUCUUGCACUGCUCAAGGCUGUGAUCUUGCCAGGG